GUUGUUUUUCAACUGACAACCUCAGCGGCGCAAAUACGGUACGAAUAACUCAACGAGCUCUAGGCGAUAUUGGCGCUUCGACAUUUGGUAAGAUCCUGAGCCGAGAAUGUCGUUGUAAAUUUUAAUUUGUCUAGCACUGUUACUGCAUUAUGCCUGAUGUGUGUUUUGAUUUUAAAUGGGUCAUAUGGUGUGUGUAUCUACUACCUUGUUUCAGUGUUUGUUCAACCAUGUUAAUUGUGGCCAGCAAUUGUUGUUGAGUUGUUGGGUAGUUCUUUUCCUUUACGUGCCAUUUGUUUUCUAUAUUAGUGGGUUAUUUGUUUUAUAUAUAAA
This 330-nucleotide long non-coding RNA is filed under the name Lathyrus oleraceus (garden pea). RNAcentral's name for it is "Pisum sativum (pea) long non-coding RNA (PSAT_LNC002176)". Lineage: Eukaryota; Viridiplantae; Streptophyta; Magnoliopsida; Fabales; Fabaceae. The record is from RNAcentral.